Molecule: ribosomal RNA, 119 nt
Filed under: Pteropus alecto (black flying fox)
Lineage: Eukaryota; Metazoa; Chordata; Mammalia; Chiroptera; Pteropodidae
Source: RNAcentral
AUCUAUGGCCAUGCCACCCUGAACACGCCCGAUCUCUUCUGAUCUCAGAAGCUAAGCAAGGUUGGGCCUGGUUAGUAUUUGGAUGAGAGACCACCUAGGAAGACCAGGUGCUAUAGGUG